GAGGGGGUCGCGGCUGAUUAGCUUGUUGGCGGGGUAAUGGCCCACCAAGGCGAAGAUCGGUAUCCGGCCUGAGAGGGCGCACGGACACACUGGAACUGAAACACGGUCCAGACUCCUACGGGAGGCAGCAGUGGGGAAUUUUGCGCAAUGGGGGAAACCCUGACGCAGCAACGCCGCGUGGAGGAUGAAGUCCCUUGGGACGUAAACUCCUUUCGACCCGGACGAUACUGACGGUACGGGUGGAAGAAGCACCGGCUAACUCUGUGCCAGCAGCCGCGGUAAUACAGAGGGUGCGAGCGUUGUUCGGAAUUAUUGGGCGUAAAGGGCGCGUAGGCGGUGCCACAAGUCACCUGUGAAAUCUCCUGGCUCAACUGGGAGCUUGCAGGCGAAACUGUGGUGCUGGAGUGUGGGAGAGGUGCGUGGAAUUCCCGGUGUAGCGGUGAAAUGCGUAGAUAUCGGGAGG
This 463-nucleotide ribosomal RNA is filed under the name uncultured Acidobacteriota bacterium. Its description in RNAcentral is "bacterial SSU rRNA". It matches the Rfam family "Bacterial small subunit ribosomal RNA", at positions 224 to 704 of the family's 1533-position model. Lineage: Bacteria; Pseudomonadati; Acidobacteriota. The record is from RNAcentral.